This 782-nucleotide long non-coding RNA is filed under the name Marmota monax (woodchuck). The record is from RNAcentral. Lineage: Eukaryota; Metazoa; Chordata; Mammalia; Rodentia; Sciuridae.
UCAGGAGGAAUGCAGUUUUGAAUCAUUCGAAUCCUGCCCACAAGGAGCCUGCAUCCUAAUGGGGAGAGAAACGAGGGCACAAAUUGUAAUGUGCAGAGGAAAAUCACAAGGACCACAGAAGAAGGAGAGUUCAAGCAUUACUUAUCUUGCUACCUGGCAUAUGGUAGGUCCUCAAACCAUGAGAGCUGAUGUAUUUGUUGAACCUCUAAAAUUAAAACGAGAUAAGAUACUUUAAUGGUGGAAGAUGAUAGAGAGAAGUUCAAGAAGAAAGAUGACAGCAGAGAUGGAGGAAUGAAAUGCCGGCAGGAAGAGCCCCAUGAGAACAAAGAUUCAGAGGCAAGAAGACAGAGAGACACAGAAAGAAAAGUAUUGCCAAGGAAUGGGUUCUAACCCAAAUAACAGGAAGGAGACAGGAGAGAAGACAAGGCAAGGAGGAGGCUGGAAUAGACACAGGACAAACAAUGCAUAUGCUGUUUCACUGAGUCUAUGGAGAGAUUCCCCUGCCAAAAAAUAGAGGCAAUUUUUAUAGACCAUUUGUGCAACUCAUUCAUUCAUUCAUGUAUUCAACAGUCUUUGCUAAGCAUGAGAUUCAGAGCUGGAAUGUCAAAGGUAUGCGGGCAGAUGCAGUGCCCCUGUUCAAGUCACUUGGAGUCUAUAAAAUGGCACAGAUAUGGAACAACAGAAGCAAUAUUAAAACCUGAUAUUUGGGCUGGGCAUGUGGCUCAAGCGGUAGUGUGCUCUCCUGGAAUGUGCGGGGCACUGGGUUCGAUCCUCAACACCAC